GAUGAACGCUGGCGGCGUGCAUAACACAUUCAAGUCGAACGAGAAUCAGUGAAGAGCUUGCUCGGAUCUGAGGAAAGUGGCGGACGGGUGAGUAACGCGUGAGCAAUCUGCCUUAGUGAGCGGGAUAACGGUCUAGGAAGCGGACGCUAAUACCGCAUAACGUAUCGGAAUCGCAUGUUUCUGAUACCAAAGCUCCGGCGCACUAAGAUGAGCUCGCGUCCGAUUAGAUAGUUGGUGGGGUAACGGCCUACCAAGUCUGCGAUCGGUAGCCGGACUGAGAGGUUGAACGGCCACAUUGGGACUGAGAUACGGUCCAG
RNAcentral lists this ribosomal RNA (317 nucleotides) under uncultured bacterium. RNAcentral's name for it is "bacterial SSU rRNA". It matches the Rfam family "Bacterial small subunit ribosomal RNA", at positions 28 to 334 of the family's 1533-position model. The record is from RNAcentral.